This 77-nucleotide transfer RNA is filed under the name Candidatus Omnitrophota bacterium. RNAcentral describes it as "tRNA-Met". It matches the Rfam family "tRNA". Rfam says of the family: Transfer RNA (tRNA) molecules are approximately 80 nucleotides in length. Their secondary structure includes four short double-helical elements and three loops (D, anti-codon, and T loops). Lineage: Bacteria; Pseudomonadati; Candidatus Omnitrophota. The record is from RNAcentral.
UGCGGGGUGGAGCAGCCUGGUAGCUUGCUGGGCUCAUAACCCAGAGGUCGUCCGUUCGAAUCGGACCCCCGCUACCA